UGAGGAAUAUUGCGCAAUGGGCGAAAGCCUGACGCAGCGACGCCGCGUGGGGGAUGAAGGUCUUCGGAUUGUAAACCCCUUUCGGGAGGGAAGACGGCCUUAGACAACUAAGGCGGACGGUACCUCCAGAAGCAGCCACGGCUAACUUCGUGCCAGCAGCCGCGGUAAUACGAAGGUGGCAAGCGUUGUUCGGAUUUACUGGGCGUAAAGGGAGCGUAGGUGGUUAGGUAAGCCCUCCGGGAAAUCUUCAGGCUUAACCUGAAAAGGUCGGGGGGGACUGCCUAGCUAGAGGGCGGGAGAGGAGCGCGGAAUUCCCGGUGUAGCGGUGAAAUGCGUAGAGAUCGGGAGGAAGGCCGGUGGCGAAGGCGGCGCUCUGGAACGUUUCUGACACUGAGGCUCGAAAGCGUGGGGAGCAAACA
This 419-nucleotide ribosomal RNA is filed under the name uncultured Nitrospira sp. Its description in RNAcentral is "bacterial SSU rRNA". It matches the Rfam family "Bacterial small subunit ribosomal RNA", at positions 355 to 774 of the family's 1533-position model. RNAcentral also lists the same sequence under 1 other name. Lineage: Bacteria; Pseudomonadati; Nitrospirota; Nitrospiria; Nitrospirales; Nitrospiraceae. The record is from RNAcentral.